Molecule: non-coding RNA, 282 nt
Organism: Peromyscus maniculatus bairdii (prairie deer mouse)
Lineage: Eukaryota; Metazoa; Chordata; Mammalia; Rodentia; Cricetidae
Source: RefSeq, a predicted model, not a curated record
CCUCCCGAGGUCAAAGUGUCGCCGCUUGGUCCUGGGGGCUCAGCUCUAGAAAUGAGGUGACAUUAGGCAGCAGCGGCAAAUCCCAUGGAAAUGAAAAGAGAAUCAGCGAGUCUUUCACGGUACAGUCGUUCACAGUGUACUUGUGGACAAGGUAGGUGUAAGUGAGCUGGAUGGAGCUGUUCGUCAUGUUCUGAACUGGGCACCGCAGAACCUUGAUGCCAUUCUUCCAACCGUAAACAACAUACCAGCGGGGCUGUGCUCCUCUCUGUCUUGCUGUUGGAG